RNAcentral lists this unclassified non-coding RNA (2515 nucleotides) under Zea mays. Its description in RNAcentral is "misc RNA Zm00001eb243370". Lineage: Eukaryota; Viridiplantae; Streptophyta; Magnoliopsida; Poales; Poaceae. The record is from RNAcentral.
CCGAAGUUUAACAUAUAAGCGGACAAACACAGAAGCCCAGUGCCUGCAACACAGUUCAUUUCCAGCCCACUACACCUGUCGAAGGUCGACCACGCUUCCGUCUUCCAGAUCUCGGCAAUCUCCAUCCCCGCUACGCCAUGGCUGCUGCCUCCUCCCCAACCUUCCCGCCGCCGGCGACCGACGUCGCCGCUCCAGGCGUCCCCGAUCUCUCGAUCCCCUACGACCUGGCCACCCGCGGGCAGUGGCAGGCGCUCUUCUCCCACCUCUCCCAUCCGGCCCACACGCCCCAUCCGCACCACCGCCUCCUCCUCUCCGCUCUCUCCGCCCUCUGCCUGGCCAAGCUCCGACGCUUCCCCGACGCCGCUGCGCUUCUAGCUUCCCUCCACCCGGAUCCGGCCUGCCCGCCGCCACCCUUCCUCAUCCGCCUCCUCCAUGCUCUCCUCCCACUCUUCCUCCCCGACCGCCCCCUCGCGCUCGACCGCCUCUACACGCUCCUCUCCUCCGUCCGCGCACGCCCCAACGCCGGGCACCCCGAGUGGCGCCGCCGCGACGCGCUCGUCGCGUCCGUCCUCGCCGCCGACCACCUCGCCCACCGCGAGUUCGACGUCGCACUCGCGCUCCUCGCCGACAUCGCCGGCCGCUACCCGGGCGACCCGGUGCUCCUCUCGCGCCUCGCCUACGCGCACCUCCAGAUCGGCAACCUCGGCGCGGCCUCGGCUGCCUUCCGCCACGUGGAGUCCGUGGCCGCCGCGUCCGAGGACCCGACGCGGCAUGCCAACCUCCUGGCCCGCAACCGCGCGCUGGAGUGCAUCGUGGGCAAGGACUACGCGGCGGCGGUGCGGGAGUACGAGCGCUGCAUCGAGGCGGACCCCGCGGACGCCGUGGCCCUCAACAACAAGGCGCUGUGCCUCAUGUACUCGCGGGACCUCGGCGACGCCAUCAAGGUGCUGGAGGGUGCCCUCGAGAGGGUCCCCACGGCGGCGCUCAACGAGACGGUGGUGGUCAACCUGUGCAGCAUGUACGAGCUCGCCUUCGUCAACCACGGCGAGGUCAAGAGGAGCCUUGCUGAGUGGAUCGCCAGGGUUGCGCCCGACGACUUCGACACCUCCUGCACGCGCAUGUAGGAGGUUCUCCUGGGAUAGAUGCUGCAUUUCUGUGUGCACGUGCUGACCUAGGCCUUGUUGGGGUUCUCGUGAAGUUACAAUAGUCAAUCAAACUCUCCUUACCAACGUGCAUCUCAACUUCCAUAUUUGUCACCUCACCAUCACAAGUGUUGUGAUCCAAAGUAGCCUCAUCCAUAACUUUUUUGUCAUCUUCAGCUUCCUCGUCAGGAAUCUCAUCUUGAAUCUUACCAUCUGAUAACUGGUUGGGAUUUGACUCUGUAAUAACAUAACAAGAAGCAUGAUUUACAUCGGUAUCUAUCCCUUGCUUCACUACCUCAGUUUCUGAAUUCUGCGUCUCCCUGUCAUCCUCCACCUCGCCUUCCUCAGUCUCCUCCGGCACCUUUGGCGCAUCAUUAGAAUCCUUAAUAGUAUCUUUGAAAGAGCUCAUAAUCUUUGACGUUGCAUCCUCCAUGCAGAACCCUUCUACAGCCUUCGCUGUCAAUGGUGUCCCUUCCCUCAGUGCCUCUGUAUCAUGAGGCCUCACCUCAUCACUCCCCCGAUUGCCGUGUCGCUCCCUCCGAAACCCAGGUGCCCCAUCUUCAUCCUUAUCCUCCUCGUAGCGCCGGCCAUUUGGAAAUGGCCUUCUCCUCUCCUUCUCCCUGUCCCUCCCUGAAUCCAAAUACCCCCUCCUGUAUUUCCCAUACUUCAUCUUCCCUCUUCCAUUGUAGCUGCCACGGCUGCAAUCAUCUCUGCUACUGGUGCUACUACUAGUGUCAUUGGCUCGCCUAGGAUUAUUGUUGUAUUCAUCUUUGUACCGCCUCCGGCCAUAACCCCCCCGGGGUUCCUGCUGUUGCAGCUGCGGUGGCGGAGGAAGAGGAUGAUCAGGCCACGCGCCAGAGAUGCCGGCGCCGCGCUGCAGAGCGGCCGGGGGGAGCACGCCCUGGGCGACCAGAUACUCGGUGGCGAGGCGACCGGCCUCCAUAAGCACCUCGUACUUGCGCUCUAGCGACGGCGGCGGCGGCGGCGGCGCCGGAGGAAACGGUGGCGGAGGAAGCGGAGCGUAGCAUGGCUGCUUGGGGCCGCGAGGAUGCCCUCCGCGGCCGAACGGCAGCGGCGGCGGCGGCAAGCGGCUGCGGUGGUUGUACUGCAUCGGAAAGGUCACACUUUUUCUCCACGGAAUCCACGAGAAAUUCGUCAGGAAUUCUGAGGCAAAGACCAAAAAGAAAAAGUGUUACGAUUUCUGCGACUUAUAUCGCGGCGAGGAACAGGAAACCCUAAAAUGAGGGCAAGAACUCACGAGUCACGAUUCAGCUGCCAGGCCGGAAUUACCACUGGCUAAUUCAGUUCUUGUUUCUUUCUACCUGUGAUUCUACCCUCUGUUCUUGAGAGACGAUCGAUGCGGGAGAAGGGGA